Callithrix jacchus (white-tufted-ear marmoset) is the source of this 14155-nucleotide non-coding RNA. Lineage: Eukaryota; Metazoa; Chordata; Mammalia; Primates; Cebidae. The record is from RefSeq and is a predicted model, not a curated record.
AUGAGGAUGGAAGAGGAGUUCUUGGAUUUGGCAAGGUGGAUUGUUGGUGAUAUUGAUAAGAGCCCUUUCACGUAUCUGGGUCAGAAUGACCCCAGCCGAAAAGUGGGAGUAUUCAUAGUACAUUCCACAGGGAAUUGGUUCCACGACACCCUGCGGAUACCAAAAUCUGAGGAUGCGCAAGCAGCAGCUGCCUGUGCAGCAGUGACCAAGCUCAAGGCUCAGGACCUUCGCGGGAAGGAGGAGGAGUUGCUGAAACAGCUGGAUGACUUGAAAGUGGGGCUGUCCCAACUUUGCGUGGCCAGUGGCAGGAGGCACUGCCUCUAAGCUCUCUAAGAUCCAUGUGGUCCGCAAAUCCGUUACCUGUGUUCUCACUGCAAUUAACCAGACCCACAAAGAAAACCUCAGGAAAUUCUACAAGGGCAAGAAGUCUAAGCACCUAAACCUGCAACCUGAGAAGACACACGCCAGGCACCACCAGCUCAGCAAGCACAAGGAGAACCUGAAGACCAAGAAGCCGCAACAGAAGGAGCAGUUGUACCUGCUGCGGAAGUACACAAUCAAGGCCUGAGCAUCACAUUGCCAAUAAAACAGAGCUGGCUGAGGGGAAGAAAAAAAGUGUGUGUUUAAUAUGCAAUUCUACUUUAUUUUUUCAUUGAACAAAUAUUUAUUGAGUGCAAGCAGUGCAAUAGUGACAUCCCCCUGAUGAUGGAUUCAUCAUGUGGUUUUCAUGCAGCAGCAAAACACACAGCAUAUGCAUUCCAUAUGCAGCCUAAAUCCCAUUGCAGUGAGCCAUGUUACAGGGCAGUUUCUGCCUGUACCAAAACAGAAACUGCUUUCUCUGAGCCUCGGCAUGUAGCAGGGUCCCUUCACUUUUAAUGAAAAUGUAGUCUUAUGCGUCUUCAUUAACUACAAAGAGAUCAGAUCAGUGGAACUGAAUAUGGCUUUUUUAUAUUUUACAAUCAAGUCAGAUUUAUUCAUCAUAACCCUGUGUGUCUUUCUACCUCAAAACACCAGGUUACCGCUAAAAUCCAAAUAAACUCAUCAAAGUGCCAUAGCACGAUAUCCAGCUGUGCCUUCAUCACUGCUCUUCUUUCCUUGUAUUCAGAACUUCCACUUUCUAUUUCGCUUUUUGCUUCACAGUUUGAGACUGGGAAAAGGCAUAUUAUUCCAAAAAGCAGAUGGCUGAGUCUUAGAGAGCUGGUAAAUUUCUGCAGAGAUGAUCAGUAUAGCACUUAGCACAUUGUUGGUGCUCAAGAAAUGUACUGAAAGUUAAAACAUUUUAAAUAGACUGACUUUGCUGUUAUUGAGGUGUCCUAAGGGAGCAUUUAAAUCCCCAGUGAUACCAAAAUGCCCAGCCAUCCUUGGAAAAACUAAAGCAGUCUGGAAUAGACUUUUCUUCUUUCUGCCCAAAGGUGACACUUAAACUCCUCUCCACUCCCCGAAAUUAAAUGCCUGGAACAUCGACAAGAUGACAGCCUUCUAAUGCCAGGCUAGUCUUUUUCACCUUAGUAUAGCACAGAAACGUGUAGUGCUUCCCUCUAAAUCCUAAGAAGUUCUUCGUAUGCUCAUUUUACGGGGUAACGGAAGCACAGAGGUUGCCUGCCUACUGCUUAGUUCUUCUGGUAAUGGAAUGUCUUGUUCCUCUGCGUGCUGCCUGUGGACUCUCAGAGCAGUUCUGCUUCUUAUCAGAUUUAUUUGGUGCACAUAGCACAGACCACACAAGUGGUCUCUGUCAACUCUGAUAAAAAGGGGGAGCUCAACAACCUUUUAUGAACAUUCUGCUUUAAACCUGUCAGGCUCUAAAAUUAGGCAGGAGUUGCUGUCAGCAGACAUUCUCUCUGAAGGGCCUGCCCUUUGCAGCCUACCUUCAUCUUUCUUAGAUGAGCACGUCCCAGGACUAGCGAUAAUGGGAGUCCUGGCAUUUGCCUCAGAUAGCACAGUAUCUGAAUUGGAUCAGAUGUGUCACUGAGUAUUGUUUUCAGGAGCCUAACUGAUUGCACAUUCGCACGUCUUAACAACUGAUUUUAUUACUAAAUGUAUGCAUCUCAAGGAGAAUCGUCAUUUCCAGGAGACAGUUGAUCUUUCCACAACUAAGGUCAUUCACUUGAUGGAACAAUAAUGUUCCCUCGAUUUGUCGCAUUUACUUCUCUUUUUUCUUUAAAGGAAGAUGAUUUUUUUAACGAGAUUUACCUGUUAAGGCAGUUAGAUGGGUAUUUAGUGACUGCCAUCUUGUGCUAAACAUGCUUCCAGAGUUAAACUGCUUUAUCCUUAAUGAUGCCUCUAGAAAGUUGUGCUUGACAAUGGGGAUGGGAUUUCUGAAGUUUUAGACUAUGUACUUUAUAUAAAUGUACACCAUUUCUUCAGUAGUAUUUUUUUUAAUGUAAAGCGUUCAGCCCAAGGAUCUGUUAUUCUUAGAAUAUGGUUUUAAAUGUGCAAAAUCACAGCUGCUUUAAAUUUGAUUACUUAAAAGGUUGAGAUAGCUUUAUAAUUUGUUCAAGCAUUUUUUCAUUUGUCAAUUGAAUUGUGUCUGCUAAGCCUUUAAGAAAAUACUUUUGAAAUGGAAUUUAUUUAGUAGAAUGGCCAUGGCAAGAUAUAGUGGGAUUUUUUUAUUGUUUUAAUAAUCUGUCUUAAAGAUAGUAACACUAAUGACCGUGUGGAGAGGGAUCAUCUUUCUAAAAUAAUAACAGUAGCCACUUUUGUAUCUGGACUUUUGAAAUGCUUGAAUAAGCCUCCUUUUAAAGAAAAUAAUGAAGUUAGCUGGGCGUGGUUGUGCACACUUGUAGUCCCAGCUACUUGGGAGGCUGAGGCAGGAGAGUUGCUUGAACCCAGGAGGCAGAGGUUGCAGUGAGCCAAGAUUGUGCCUCUGCACUCCAGCCUGACAACAGAGCAAGACUCCAUCUCAAAAAAAAAAAAAAAGGAAAAGAAUGAAAAUAGGCUGGGUGCGGUGGCUCACUCCUACAAUCCCAGCACUUUGGGAGGCUGAGAUGGGCAGAUCACUGAAGGUCAAGAGAUGGAGACCAUCCUGGCCAACAUGGUGAAACCCCAUCUCUACUAAAAUAUAAAAAUUAGCUGGGCAUGGUGGUGUGCAUCUGUAAUCUCAGCUACUCUGGAGGCUGAGGCAGGAGAAUCUCUGGAACCUAGGAGGCAGAGGAUACAGUGAGCUGAGAUCGUGCCACUUCACUCCAGCCUGGGCAAUAGAGCAAGGCUCAGUCUCAAAAAAAAGAAAAGAAAAGAAAAUAGGGGAUAGCAUCUCUGGCAGAAUGAUGUUUGUCCCCUGGGUUCCCUAGAGCCAGGUGGUCAUUGUCUUGGGGAAGAAAGAAAUGAAUAUUUUAAAUCUAUGCCAAAGGCAGUAACAUUUUCAACAUUUUGCAUAAUUUAACACAAUAAAGAUACUUACAAGGAAGUAAUAACUUGAAGUUAAUUACUUUGUGAUAUAGGAAGAAAAAAACACUGAAUCAGGGACUUGGGAGACCUUUGUAGUAAUUUGCCAUAAGCUGGCAGUGUUGCCAUGGCAGUUAUCUUUUUUGUUGUUGUUGUGACAGAGUCUGGCUCUGUAACCCGGGCUUAAGUGCAGUGAUGCAGUCUUGGCUCACUGCAACCUUUGCCUCCUGGGUUCAAGAGAUUCUCGUGCCUCAGCCUCCUGAAAAACUAGGACUAUGGGUGCCUGCCACCAUGCCCAGCUAAUUUUGGUAUUUUCAGUAGAGACGGGGUUUCACCAUAAUGGCCAGGCUGGUCUUGAACUCUUGUCCUCAAAUGAUCUGCCUGCGUUGACCUCCCAAAGUGCUGGGAUUACAGGCAUGAGCCACCACACCUGGCCCUUUGCAAUUUACUUUAUCUUCUUGAAUCUUAUUUUCUCAUUUGUAAAAUAAGAGAACACUGCUAGCUGGAUGAGGUCCUGGAGUGGCAACCUCUUCUUAUAUCUGAAACAUUUUAGAGUCCCAGAAUUCACUAUUAUUAUCUUAUAUCCUCAGGGCUGAGAAAGAACAGACACCAGCUUUGUUUUCCAGGUGGCACAAUCUUGUGACUGCUCAGAAAAUACCCUUCUCAACCCUCUAUCAGGAAUCAGUGUGGGUUUCAUGAAGGGUGUGGUUCCUUACAGCCUUGUGGUGCUUACUGUUUCUGGUUUGGGAUGUGGAAUAGUAUUGUUAUGCUGCUGUGCCUCUCCACAAUGAAGAGUUUAAGUUUUUUUGUUUGUUUGUUUUUGAAGGAGAAUUUUCAUUAAGUACAGAAACUCAACAGUAUACAUUAAACCCAGUUGAGUGGCAAGUCCUUUGACCCUCUGCCUUUUGCCACUUGGCAAUGCAAGCCACAGAUUUGUGACCCCAGACAUUGCCUCCCCAGUGAUAGUGAUCUUGGCAUAUUCAUCAUUGUAACUGGUCCUGGUAGUUUCCACCAGCUUAGGCAAAGCUCCUGUGUCUUCCCAGUUAACCUGUGUGCAGGCAACACUGGUGCAGGUCCCCCUGUGGACUGGACGUCCCAGCCUGGCCAUUCCUUUGAUGAUGUAGUAGGGAACACCCCUCUCGUGAUAAUAGGGCAGAUGGGAAGACAGCCAGCCUGAAAGGAUCCACGUUGUGCGCAGUCACCACCAGCUGAGCCGCCUUGUUCUCCCCACAAGGUAGCAACAGUGUUAACCCCUGCUCCAAGGACAAGUGGUCUCCAGUGGGGGCCUCCCCUUUGACGGCAGCUUUCUUCUCAGCCGGGGACAGCAGCCAUCGCUUCUUCUCUUGCUCUGUCUCUGGUCUGUACUUGUGGGCCAGCCUAGGCAGCUGAGUGUUGUUUUGCUGCCCAAGGCCUGGACCAACUGGUUCCUCACCAAGGUACUUUCAGCCAUGUUUAGAGGACAGCUCUUUGUCACUGCACCUGGAUGUAGCAGGGCCGCUUGACAAAGCUGGUGAGCAUCUCUUGGGGCCAGAUGUCCUGCAAGUGCCAACAUUCUUGGGUCUUUCUCAGGGGAUUCAUCACCUUGGCCACCUGCUUCUUCACGACAACAGGGGCUAGGGCCACCUUCUCCAGCCGCGCAAGAUGCCAAAACAGUCUAACAUUUGAAGGAGAAGAAAAUGAAAUUAAGGAAAGAAGCUUAGAGUGUAACUUUGGUCAGCCUCUGGCUGGCUCACUAAUGCUUAGAACUAACUGUUGUUUUCAAUCACUGUCGUAAUGUUUGGUUUUAUUUACUGUGUCUUUCAUUGAUAUGCUCUAAGAUAGUCUCACUCAUAAGAUCUUACGGGUGCUUCCAAAGACCAUCUGUUUGUUCAUCGUGGAUUCUUUGGUGGUACUUAUAGUCUGUUAAGGUGAAAGGGGGUGCUGUGUCCAGGCUCCUUGUUGAACUGGAUCUAUUGUAUAACCCAUUUACUCUGCUGUUGACAAGAAGAAGGAAGACAGGGCCCUGUCUGCCUCACAUGAUGAGCCAUUAGCCCUGGAUGACAGAUAGACUUUUUCUAUUACUCAAGUGGGCGUCUGUUAGAUCCCAUGAGAGCACUUUGUUUUCCCAUCCAUUGAGGGUCCCAUAAAAGCUUUGGCAUCUCACUACAAAUAGGUGUGCACAGUGGAUACUCAGAAAGAAGGGAGGUGGAUUAUCAGCUCUCUCAUUGGUUACAGUAUGGGAAAAAGGAAAGGAAGUAAUUUUGUUUUUUAACUUAAACCUGAGUACUGUGGUUGCAAUAAACUACCAGGUAAAGAAACAACAAGUACAGUUAAGCUUUGACAACUGUCUACUUAUCAGGCACUCAUGGCUCUUAUAUAUAUAUAUGUAUAAAUGACAUUUUAUAUGUUACUAAUAAUAGUUUAAGGUUCUAAUAUUCCUAUCACAACUCCACUGUAGCCGAGGAGAGGAGUCAGGGAGACUAGUACAGAGCCCUGUGUGGGUUUGCCUAUAUAAAUGGCAGAGAAGACACUUGCUUGUGAAACCAAAUGACCAAAUAGGUGCCUGGGUGUGAGGGGCCUUGGCACAAGAUGAUCCUGAGGGUUGACAGUAGGGUGGUUGAGAAGAGAGUGUUGCUGUUAGCCCACAUAAGAGGCCCUUGGAGGAGCCAGGUGCCCAGGUGUGUCUGGGCAUGUUAAUUUGGAGAUGUGGGCAGGUCAUCCACCACAGGAGAUCAUGAACCCCCAUACCCUAGGCAAGUUGAUGGGCUUCUUAACCAACCCCUCACAGGUGACUUCCAGGAAACACAUGGCUGGCUAUGGGCCUGCAGAUGUGGACAUGGAGGUCUUUUACAUAGAGCAGAUUGUUGGAGCUCUCUGAGAUGGCAAAGAGGGAAUCUGAAAAGAGAAAAGAGACAGCCAAGUAUAGAAAAUUGCAAAACAAGAGGAAGAGGAGCCAAUAAUGGUUCAGUUAGGAAGCCUGACAGAGAUUUAGUGAAAUGAAAAAGAGCCACAGAAAUACUCCACCCAGGAAACCAUAGAAGCAGUUGCCAUAUAGGGAUUGAAAGGGAUGAGACCUGGAAGGGAACCAAUUCAAACAUGUCAUUUCUGAGCAGCGAGGGAAAGAGAAAGAACAGAUUCUCUAAUAAACGGUGUAUAAAAAUUGGCCAUUUGGGGGAAAGUAGUUAGAUCCUAGGCCAUGUAUAAAAGUAAAAUAUAAAUGUAAAAAGUCAAGAUGAACAUAUAGACAAAUAUAUUUAUAACGUGGGGUAGAGAAUGGUUUAUAAGAUAGGAAGCUGAAAGGGAAAAAUAGAUAUUUGGGUACAUAAAUAUUAACACCUUCUUGCACCUUAAGACACCACAAAGAAAGUUAAAAAGAAAAAAAGGUGGUGUACUGGGAUAAAAUAUAAACAAAGCAUGAUAGAAAAAAGGUGACUACCCUUUAAUGUAAGAUAAAUUUCUGUAAUCAGAAAGGAGAAGUAACAGAAUGAACGAGCAGGCAUACUUUGUUCUCCAAGGACAAAAUAUAAAAUGACUAUGAAAAUCUUUGCUAAUAAAAAAAAUACAAUAAGGAAAUGGCAGUGUUUGCCUAUUAGACUAGUAAAAAUUAAAAUCUAUUUUAACAUCCAUUGCUGAUGAGACAUGGACACUUAGGCGAACAUUGUCAAGUUAUUAAGUCCUUUUUGGAGGAUAUUUGGUUCGAAUUUAUUGCAUUUUUUAGUGCACUUAUACUUCAAUCUAGUAGUCCCAUGUCUAAGAAUAUAUCCUACAGAUCUAUCUAAAAGGGAUUUAUUCCAUCAUUACCAAUCACAGAACAUAAUGAAUAGCCUAAAUAUCAGUGAGAAAAUGGUUAAAUGUAUGUGCAUCCAUAGAAUGAAAUAUUAGGCAGCCAUUUUUUAAAAUGAGAUAAAUCUGAGUGUUUUACCCUGAAAAGAAUUCCAUGAUAAAUUGCUAAGUGAAGAGGAGGGAGAGUGAAUCAUAGCCCAAUAUUAGCCCAAUUCCAUUUAUCACUAUAUAAUAAUAACCUAUGUAUAUUUGACCAUGUAAAUAGGUGUGUGUCUAUGUGCUCAUGAAAAUGUUGGAAAGGAUUUUCCACCACCACUAGGGUAGAGGCAGGGAUGGAGAAAGACAAAUGUUCAUUGAUUACCUUUGAAAGAGCAUGAUGGGGAUAGGAAUCAAUGGGGUGGGAAAGUGGUAAGCUGUGAGUAUGGGGUGCUCAGGAUUAAUCUAUUAGAAAGAUGGAAAUAUAGCUUAAGAGGCAGACAGGGUGAAACAUAAGGUUUUGUUGGCUAGGAUAAGAGAAAUUUGAGUCUAUUUGUAUGCCAAAGAAAGGGAAAAAAUACAAAAAACAAAAACUGUCACAGUAGUGGUGGAGGCAGUAAGGGAUGGAAUCAAGACAGAGCAAUCCUCCUUUCUCUGGGGUUGUAAAGGCUGAAUGAAGUUAGCAGAAGCUUUACCAAGAACUCCAAGCAGACGGACCCUAUGAGGGAUAGGCAAGGCCAGAGGCAGAGUAGGGAUGCAAAUGGUGGUGUCAGAAAUGAAGGAAAAUGGAAAACAUUGGAAACAGUUACUCUUGAUUUAGGUGGGGAAAGAUGGAAGACAUUUAGGAAGGAAAAGACCUAAGACGUAAGUUCAGGGCCCAGCUGAGUUCAAGUAUGCAUUUGUAAUGAAGCAAGUUGGCAUUUUCUGAGUGUCCAGCAGCCCAGGGGAGGAGAAGGAAUCCAAUGGGUUAGAGUCGAAAUUAAAGGAGUUCCAAACUUAGUGACAUUUAAAGUGCUGCCCAGGGGUCCCAAGUUGGGCAAGGAAAGCCCAAGGGAAGGUGACAGCCAGAGAGAAUAUAAACAGCUGAAUGUCUUCGUAAGAGUUGUUUUAAAAAAUAAAAGCAGAUACCUCAGGGGUAAGGAAAUGACAGAAGUGGCAACAGGGCAAGUUAGAACCACAGUGGGGGUUGUCCUAGUUCCUUGCAGAAGUUCACAACCAAGGUGAUGGGUGAGUAUUGUGCUGGUUUGUCUCAGUAGACUCUUGGAUCCCAUGAGGGGUCCCAUGAGGGAUCACGCAGCUCGCCUUCUUUACAUCUCCAGGGCUGAGUAUGGCCCCUGGCACAUAACAGACACACAGCAAACAUUGGAGGGAACCAGGGGCUAGGGUAGGGUGGAAACUAAGGUCUUGCUGUUGAGGCAUUCAGGUAUCUGUAAGGUGAGGAUGCUGGACAGGCUUCACUGUUAAAGUCACUGAGGAAAAUCACAGGAGACCUGGGUAAAGAGAAGUGUAGAGACUUGCAUUAAAAUGAUCAAGAAUUACAGGAAAACAUCUGGUUUUAGUUGAUAUUAAUUGGUAGGGAAAGAGGUAGUGACAAAAGCAGAUGGUCUGACCAGUGUUUUGAGCCCAGAUCCACCUGCCACGGAAUAUGUAGGAUAUGUGUUAAAUCUGCACAUUUUGGGGCUCUGCUCUAGACCUGUGGAAUCCAAAACUCUGGGGAUAAAGCCUGGGAAACUGUAUUUUUAACAGUUUCUUCACAGGUUUGUAGGCCCAGCCAAAAAGGCUCAAAAACCACUGAUGUAGACUCUGAUGUGGAGCUUCUUGGCCAGGUGUGGGAAGCAUAUGGAAGCAAGGAGUUUAUUCGCUUCUCCUCCUGACCCAGCAAAUUCAGGGCAAUGAAAAAGGAGACACUCCCAAAGCCUCUUAAAGUUUUGAAAGAAGGGGCUUCUUUGUACCCAUUAAAAUACAAAGCUGGGGGGAAAAGUGGCUUCGGGGGAAACCAGUUUUGGUUAAAUCAAAGAAGUAGAAAGUACAUGAUGGAAAAUGCCUAGGCUCUUUUGAAGGGCUGUUUCUAAAAUGUCUAUAUGGAUUCCUUCCAUAGUUAUCAAAAGACUCAGAAAUUAUUUGCCCUUUUAUUGAAGAGGCAAGUUUAGAUUUACUCUCAAUUACCAUUCCAUAAUUGGAAAUGUCAGAAAAUACUGCUGUGUGCAUGCAUGUGUCCACAGAGGAAUUUGAUAAAAUAGUUAUUCAUGUGUAUAUUACAUGUAUAGGCAUUACUUGUAUAACUGAACUUCACAAAUAAUUGCCCCUUUCUUUUUUCCACAAAUUGAAGGUUUGUGGCAACCUUGAAUCAAGCAGGUCUGUCAGUGCCAUUUUUCCAACAAUACAUGGUUAUUUGUGUCUCUGUGUCACACUUUGGUAAUUGUCAAAAUACUUUAAACCAUUAUUACUAUAUUUGUUAUGGAGAUCCCUCAUCAGUGAUCUUUGAUGUGACUAUUCUAAUUGUUGUGUGGUGCCAUGAACCACACCCAUAUAAGACUAUGAACUUAAUUGAUAAAUGUUGUAUGUGUCCUGAUUGCUCAGCUGACCAUUUCAUGUCUCACUCCCUCUCCCUGGGCCUCAAUUAGGGCAAUGAACAACCCUCCAGUGGCUUCUAAAUGUUCAGGUCAAAGGAGGACGCUCACAUCUUACUUGAAAUCAAAGCCAGAAAGGGCUAAGCUCAGUGAGGAAGGAAUGUGCAAGAGGCUUGGCUAGCUUUUAGUCUAUCUCAGUACAAGUUGAAUGAAAAGGAAAAAAACUUGAAAGAAUUGAAAAUGCUACUUCAGUGAAGACAUGAAUGAUAAGAAAGGCUGCCUUGUAUCUGAUAUGGAGAAAGUUUGAGUAGUCUGAUUAGAAGGUCACACCAGUUACAACAUUUGCCAAAACCAAAUCCAUAGAAAGCCCUAACUCUCUUCAAUUCUAUGAAGACCAAGAGAGGUGUGGAAUCUGCAGAAGAAUAGUGUGAAGCUAACAGAGGAUGGCUCAGAGGGUUUCAGGAAAGAAGCCGUCUGCAUAAAAUAGAAGUGCAAGGUGCAGCAAGAAGUGCUGAUAUAGAAGCUGCAGCAAGUUCUCAAGAAGAUCUAGCUAAGGUCACUGUUGAAGGUGGCCACACUAAACAGAUUUUCAGUGUAGAGAGCACAGCCUUCUAUUCAAAGAAGAUGCCAUCUUGGACUUUUACAGUUAGAGAGAAGUCGGUUCCUGACUUCAAAGCUUCAAAGGACAGACUGACUUUCUUAAGGGCUAAGCCAGUGCUCAUUUACCAUUCUGAAAAUCCCAGGGCCCUUAAGAAUUGUGGUAAAUCUACUCUGUGCUCUAGAAAUGGAACACAAAGCUGGAUGACAGCACAUCUGUUCCCACCAUGUUUUACUCAAGAUUUUAGGCCCACUAUUGAGACCUACUUCGCAGAAAACAGAUUUUCUUUCAAAAUAUUACUGCUCAUUGACAGCACAUCUAGUCACCCGAGAGCUCUGAUGGAGCUAUACAAGGAGGUGAAUGUUGUUUUCAUGCCUGCUAACACAAUAUCCAUUCUGCAGCCUGUGGAUCAAGCAGUAAUUCUGGCUUUCAUGUCUUACUAUUUGAGAAAUAAUACAUUUUGUAAGGCUAUAGUUACCAUACAUUCCUCUGAUGAUGGCCAAGUAAAUUGAAAACCUUCUGGAAAGGAUUCACCAUUCUACAUACCGUGAAGAACAUUCAUGAUUUAUGGGAGGAGGUCAGAAUAUCUGCAUUAACAGAAGUUUGAAACAAGUGAUUGUAAUGCUCAUGGAUGACUCUGAAGGGUUCAAGACCUCAAUGGAGGAAGUCACUGCAUACAUGGUGGAAAUAGCAAGAGAACAAGAAUUAGAAAUGGAGCCUGCAUAUGUGAUUGAACUGCUGAAAUCUUGUGAUAAAACUUGAAUGGAUGAGGAGUUGCUUUUUAGGGAUGAGCAAAUAAAGUGGUUUCUUGAGAUGGAAUCUACUCCUGGUGAAGAGGCAGUGAACAUCGUUAAAAUGACAACAAAGGUUUUAGUAUGUUCCAUAAACUUAAUUGAUAAAACAGUGUCAGGGUUUGAAGGGAUUGACUACAGUUUUGAAAGAAGCUCUGCUGGGGGUAAAAUGCUGUCAAACAGUGAAUUAGUCAGGGUUCUCUUAAAGGGUGGAACUGAUAGGAGAUAUAUAUAUGGAACUUUUUAAAUAUUAACUUACAUGAUCACAAGGUCACAGUAGGCUGUCUGCAAGCUGAGGAGCAAGGAGAGCCAAUCCAAGUCCCAAAACUAAAGAACUUGGAGUCUGAUGUUCGAGGGUAGGAAGCAUCCAGCACAGCAGAAAGAUGUAGGCUGGGAGGCUAGGCCUGUCUCUCCUUUUCACGUUUUUCUGCCUACUUUAUAUACCUGGAAGCUAAUUAGAUUGUGCCUACCAGAUUAAGGGUGGAUCUGCCUUCCCAGCCCGCUGACUGAAAUGCUAAUCUCUUUUGGCUGCACCCACACAGACACACCCAGGAUUAAUACUUUGUAUCCCUCAGUCCAAUCAAGUUGACACUCCGUAUUAACCAUCACAGACAGCAUUCCAUUGCUACAUAGAAAUCCUUCAUUGCUAUUUCUUCAAUUACAGAGGCAGCAAGAAAAAAGAAGAAAAAAGUGAAAUCCUUCAUGAAAGGAAAAGUCCAUCAGUGUGGCAUACCUCACUGUUGUCUUCAUUUAAGAAAAUGCCACAGCCACUCCAGCCUUCAGCAGCCAUCACCUUGAUGGAUCAGUAGCUAUUCACACUAAGGCAAGGUCCUCCACAAGCAGAAAGAUUAUGAAUUGCUAAAGUCUCAGAUAACCAUUAGCGUUUUCUAGCCGUAAAGCCUUUUUUAAGGCAUACACAUUUUUUAGACAAUGCUAUUGCACACUUAAUAGACUACAAUGUAGUGUAAUCACAACUUUUAUAUGCAUUAGGAAUCUAAAAAAUUUGUAUGACUUGCUUUAUUGUGGUUGUCUGGAACCAAAAAAUCAGUGUAUUUCUGAGGUAUGCCUAUAUGCUUAUUUCAAGACUAAAAUAGCCUUCCUGUAAGGAGUUGUCUUCCCCACAAUAAAGUCAUCUUUACAAUGUCCUUUCAUUUUGGACCAAAUUCAACAUAAUGUUUUUAACAUUAGAACCACACCAACUUAAAGCUUAGAUAUAUUUCUGUAACUGCGGGGAUAAUGGAAACUUCAUGCUUUCAAUGAUAUUCUCAAAGGAUGCUUUCACCCUGGAGUCAGAUAAGAGAGCUAAUUGCAGGCUGGCUUGCAGGCACUGGAAAUCUUACAGAUGGUAGCAAGAAAAGUGAUAUGGGAGGAGGAAGUUGAAGUGUCAUGAAGCAUCAAGAGAUAGAGCACUGUGGGAACAGUGGAGGGUCUGAGAGUCUGUUAGCUGGGAUGAGGAGUGCAGCAGUCCAGCUGGCUGCGUGAAGAUCAGGGUGCAUGAGGAGGGGUCAGCCUGGGGAGAAUUGAGCUGGACUGGGAUUUGAAACUAGGGGAGAAGCUGGGUUGGAGGGAAUGUGAGUUUUUGAACAGAGGAUUCUGUGAAGGUAGCAUCAGUGAGACGGUUUACUCAUUUGCUCAUCGAUGCUGUUGCCUCUGUGGGGAUAAUGCUCUGAAUUCUAACUCGAGUCUUAGCUCACUAAUCCCAGCCAGUCCCUUGGAAUUUGUUCCUCUUACUCUGUUUACUUGUACCUACCCACACAGUUUCUCUAUUAGUGGCUGCUGACUGGCACUAAGUAACUUUAAAUAAAACUGUAUCCCCUCUGAUAAUUUUGAACUCUGAAGAGUAUUCUCCAUGAUUCCUCAGAUGCCAAAUUUAAGUGUAUCUCAAUAUUUCUCUGCAGAGUCCGAAACAAACUCUUUUUAUAUUACUGUUUCUUGGCAGGUUUCAAAAAACUACCAGACUUGCAGGCGUUUAUCAUGGUCCUAUAACUCCUGUCUCUAAAUCUGCAUCCCUGCCCACUCUCCCUCCGCCCACCCCACCCAUGGUUAUUUCCAUGGACUCUGUGGCAACUUUCUGCAACAGAACUGCUGCCUUAAAAAGCUAUGGAUAAAAUAUGGCUCCAGGUCACAUGAAGUGUAAAGGCUUAUAGCCAUGACUAGAACACAAGGUCAACAAGACGAUUCCAAACUGGGGCACUUUUUAGGAGUUAUUUGCGGUAAAAACAUGUUUACUCAAAGAGAAAGCUAUUCACUGCUUUCCUUUCAGGAGAAAAAAGCAUUAUCAGCUUUUUGUGGCUUCUAAUUUAUUCUAUGACUUGUCAGUUGACUAGCUUUUAAUGUUCCUCUCCUUAUGCCUUUUUUCAAAUCCUUUAUCCAAAAGGCUAUGAAGAUGUUGACUUUGAACUUGCCUGAGGUAGCCCGGAUUCAGGAAGGCUUUAGGAACGUUAUAUUAGUUAUCAAUAGUGGAGAGAAAGGUCGUUGUUUACUGGGAAUAAUAGGAUUUCCAUGUUUUCCUUCAUCAACUUUCUCAGCUAGUAAGUUUUGUUGCUGCUAACAUUUAUUUAGUAGUUCAGCAUAGGAAAAUGACAUCUUGAGCAUCUUAACAUUUAGAGAGGAAGUUGAAUAUGAAAUUUGUUUUCUGGAGUAUAAGUCUUACUAGAUUAAGUUGCUUGGCAGGAUGGCAAAUCUGCCUCUGUCAGUGCUGAGAGGGGUGAGAAGGAGCAGAGAAUGGAAAGCCUGUUCUGUGUGUGCUUCGGGAAGGCCUGGAGAGGUGGGCACGAUAGCUACAUGUGGGGAUGCAGAAUUGAGGCUAGGAGAGAGAAACAACAUGCAAAGGGCACCAGCAAGAUAGCUGUGGAAUAACAAUUAAAUGUGGGUCUCCGUUCUCAGAGCCAGCCUCUUUAAACUGCUCUGUGUGCUCUCCUUAAAAACAGAAAGAUUCUUCACCAAAAAGCCCUUUAGAGGCGAUAGGUUUUCAUUGUGCCACUGUACAUCAUGAAGAGAGAGUUUACUGUUUUUCCCAUUUAAAAGCAUGCAGUAUUUACUAAGUAAUGCUAAAUCUUAUAUUCUGCCUUCUUAUG